Molecule: ribosomal RNA, 384 nt
Filed under: Symplocos citrea
Lineage: Eukaryota; Viridiplantae; Streptophyta; Magnoliopsida; Ericales; Symplocaceae
Description: partial 5.8S ribosomal RNA
Rfam family: 5.8S ribosomal RNA (bases 6-161)
Source: RNAcentral
UAAACGACUCUCGGCAACGGAUAUCUCGGCUCUCGCAUCGAUGAAGAACGUAGCGAAAUGCGAUACUUGGUGUGAAUUGCAGAAUCCCGUGAACCAUCGAGUUUUUGAACGCAAGUUGCGCCCGAAGCCAUUAGGUUGAGGGCACGUCUGCCUGGGCGUCUCACAUUGCGUCGUUCCAAAUUCUCACCACAAAAAGUGUUGGUGUUUUUGGAAGCGGAUUUUGGCUCCCCGUGCACUCAUGUGUGCGGCCGGCCUAAAAAUGAGUCCCUGGCGAUGCGUGUCACGACAAGUGGUGGUUGAUAAGCCGUUGCGUCCUGUUGUGCAUGCUUUGUCACCAAGGGUUUUCUCUAAUGACCCUGAAGUGCCGUUGCAACGGUGCCUCGA